AAAGCGUGCGUAGGUGGUUGUUUAAGUCUGUUGUGAAAGCCCUGGGCUCAACCUGGGAAUUGCAGUGGAUACUGGGCGACUAGAGUGUGGUAGAGGGUAGUGGAAUUCCCGGUGUAGCAGUGAAAUGCGUAGAGAUCGGGAGGAACAUCCAUGGCGAAGGCAGCUACCUGGACCAACACUGACACUGAGGCACGAAAGCGUGGGGAGCAAACAGGAUUAGAUACCCGGGU
This 230-nucleotide ribosomal RNA is filed under the name uncultured bacterium. RNAcentral's name for it is "partial 16S ribosomal RNA". It matches the Rfam family "Bacterial small subunit ribosomal RNA", at positions 562 to 791 of the family's 1533-position model. The record is from RNAcentral.